Molecule: ribosomal RNA, 253 nt
Filed under: uncultured bacterium
Lineage: Bacteria
Description: partial 16S ribosomal RNA
Rfam family: Bacterial small subunit ribosomal RNA
Source: RNAcentral
UACGUAGGGUGCGAGCGUUAAUCGGAAUUACUGGGCGUAAAGCGUGCGCAGGCGGUUUUGUAAGCCAGAUGUGAAAUCCCCGGGCUUAACCUGGGAAUGGCAUUUGGGACUGCAAGGCUGGAGUGCGGCAGAGGAGACUGGAAUUCCUGGUGUAGCAGUGAAAUGCAUAGAUAUCAGGAGGAACACCGAUGGCGAAGGCAGGUCUCUGGGCUGACACUGACGCUCAUGCACGAAAGCGUGGGGAGCAAACAGG